Molecule: ribosomal RNA, 2758 nt
Filed under: Klebsiella pneumoniae
Lineage: Bacteria; Pseudomonadati; Pseudomonadota; Gammaproteobacteria; Enterobacterales; Enterobacteriaceae
Description: partial 23S ribosomal RNA
Rfam family: Bacterial large subunit ribosomal RNA
Source: RNAcentral
CACUAUCGUUAACUGAAUACAUAGGUUAACGAGGCGAACCGGGGGAACUGAAACAUCUAAGUACCCCGAGGAAAAGAAAUCAACCGAGAUUCCCCCAGUAGCGGCGAGCGAACGGGGAGCAGCCCAGAGUCUGAAUCAGCUUGUGUGUUAGUGGAACGGUCUGGAAAGUCCGACGGUACAGGGUGAUAGUCCCGUACACCAAAAUGCACAGGCUGUGAACUCGAAGAGUAGGGCGGGACACGUGGUAUCCUGUCUGAAUAUGGGGGGACCAUCCUCCAAGGCUAAAUACUCCUGACUGACCGAUAGUGAACCAGUACCGUGAGGGAAAGGCGAAAAGAACCCCGGCGAGGGGAGUGAAAAAGAACCUGAAACCGUGUACGUACAAGCAGUGGGAGCACCUUCGGGUGUGACUGCGUACCUUUUGUAUAAUGGGUCAGCGACUUAUAUUCUGUAGCAAGGUUAACCGUAUAGGGGAGCCGCAGGGAAACCGAGUCUUAACUGGGCGUUAAGUUGCAGGGUAUAGACCCGAAACCCGGUGAUCUAGCCAUGGGCAGGUUGAAGGUUGGGUAACACUAACUGGAGGACCGAACCGACUAAUGUUGAAAAAUUAGCGGAUGACUUGUGGCUGGGGGUGAAAGGCCAAUCAAACCGGGAGAUAGCUGGUUCUCCCCGAAAGCUAUUUAGGUAGCGCCUCGUGAACUCAUCUUCGGGGGUAGAGCACUGUUUCGGCUAGGGGGUCAUCCCGACUUACCAACCCGAUGCAAACUACGAAUACCGAAGAAUGUUAUCACGGGAGACACACGGCGGGUGCUAACGUCCGUCGUGAAGAGGGAAACAACCCAGACCGCCAGCUAAGGUCCCAAAGUCAUGGUUAAGUGGGAAACGAUGUGGGAAGGCACAGACAGCCAGGAUGUUGGCUUAGAAGCAGCCAUCAUUUAAAGAAAGCGUAAUAGCUCACUGGUCGAGUCGGCCUGCGCGGAAGAUGUAACGGGGCUAAACCAUGCACCGAAGCUGCGGCAGCGACACUAUGUGUUGUUGGGUAGGGGAGCGUUCUGUAAGCCUGCGAAGGUGACCUGUGAGGGUUGCUGGAGGUAUCAGAAGUGCGAAUGCUGACAUAAGUAACGAUAAAGCGGGUGAAAAGCCCGCUCGCCGGAAGACCAAGGGUUCCUGUCCAACGUUAAUCGGGGCAGGGUGAGUCGACCCCUAAGGCGAGGCCGAAAGGCGUAGUCGAUGGGAAACAGGUUAAUAUUCCUGUACUUGGUGUUACUGCGAAGGGGGGACGGAGAAGGCUAUGUUAGCCGGGCGACGGUUGUCCCGGUUUAAGCAUGUAGGCUGAUUGUCCAGGCAAAUCCGGAUAAUCAAGGCUGAGGUGUGAUGACGAGGCACUACGGUGCUGAAGUAACAAAUGCCCUGCUUCCAGGAAAAGCCUCUAAGCAUCAGGUAACAUCAAAUCGUACCCCAAACCGACACAGGUGGUCAGGUAGAGAAUACCAAGGCGCUUGAGAGAACUCGGGUGAAGGAACUAGGCAAAAUGGUGCCGUAACUUCGGGAGAAGGCACGCUGGUGUGUAGGUGAAGCCCCUGCGGGUGGAGCUGAGACCAGUCGAAGAUACCAGCUGGCUGCAACUGUUUAUUAAAAACACAGCACUGUGCAAACACGAAAGUGGACGUAUACGGUGUGACGCCUGCCCGGUGCCGGAAGGUUAAUUGAUGGGGUUAUCCGUAAGGAGAAGCUCUUGAUCGAAGCCCCGGUAAACGGCGGCCGUAACUAUAACGGUCCUAAGGUAGCGAAAUUCCUUGUCGGGUAAGUUCCGACCUGCACGAAUGGCGUAAUGAUGGCCAGGCUGUCUCCACCCGAGACUCAGUGAAAUUGAACUCGCUGUGAAGAUGCAGUGUACCCGCGGCAAGACGGAAAGACCCCGUGAACCUUUACUAUAGCUUGACACUGAACAUUGAGCCUUGAUGUGUAGGAUAGGUGGGAGGCUUUGAAGCGUGGACGCCAGUCUGCGUGGAGCCAACCUUGAAAUACCACCCUUUAAUGUUUGAUGUUCUAACGUUGGCCCCUGACCGGGGUUGCGGACAGUGUCUGGUGGGUAGUUUGACUGGGGCGGUCUCCUCCCAAAGCGUAACGGAGGAGCACGAAGGUUAGCUAAUCCUGGUCGGACAUCAGGAGGUUAGUGCAAUGGCAUAAGCUAGCUUGACUGCGAGCGUGACGGCGCGAGCAGGUGCGAAAGCAGGUCAUAGUGAUCCGGUGGUUCUGAAUGGAAGGGCCAUCGCUCAACGGAUAAAAGGUACUCCGGGGAUAACAGGCUGAUACCGCCCAAGAGUUCAUAUCGACGGCGGUGUUUGGCACCUCGAUGUCGGCUCAUCACAUCCUGGGGCUGAAGUAGGUCCCAAGGGUAUGGCUGUUCGCCAUUUAAAGUGGUACGCGAGCUGGGUUUAGAACGUCGUGAGACAGUUCGGUCCCUAUCUGCCGUGGGCGCUGGAGAAUUGAGGGGGGCUGCUCCUAGUACGAGAGGACCGGAGUGGACGCAUCACUGGUGUUCGGGUUGUCAUGCCAAUGGCACUGCCCGGUAGCUAAAUGCGGAAGAGAUAAGUGCUGAAAGCAUCUAAGCACGAAACUUGCCCCGAGAUGAGUUCUCCCUGAGACUUUAAGUCUCCUGAAGGAACGUUAAAGACGAUGACGUUGAUAGGCCGGGUGUGUAAGCGCAGCGAUGCGUUGAGCUAACCGGUACUAAUGAACCGUGAGGCUUAACCUU